AAUAUUGCACAAUGGGGGAAACCCUGAUGCAGCGACGCCGCGUGGGUGAAGGAGCGCUUCGGCGUGUAAAGCCCUAUCAGCAGGGAAGAAAGAAGACGGUACCUGACUAAGAAGCCCCGGCUAACUACGUGCCAGCAGCCGCGGUAAUACGUAGGGGGCAAGCGUUAUCCGGAUUUACUGGGCGUAAAGGGAGCGUAGACGGCUGUGCAAGUCUGGUGUGAAAGGCGGGGGCUUAACCCCCGGACUGCAUUGGAAACUGCAUGGCUGGAGUGCCGGAGGGGUAAGCGGAAUUCCUAGUGUAGCGGUGAAAUGCGUAGAUAUUAGGAGGAACACCGGUGGCGAAGGCGGCUUACUGGACGGCAACUGACGUUGAGGCUCGAAAGCGUGGGGAGCAAACA
RNAcentral lists this ribosomal RNA (398 nucleotides) under uncultured bacterium. Its description in RNAcentral is "bacterial SSU rRNA". It matches the Rfam family "Bacterial small subunit ribosomal RNA", at positions 360 to 774 of the family's 1533-position model. The record is from RNAcentral.